UACCAUUCGAGACGUUUGGGUGCCUUGCUCCACGACCGUGGGGCGGGUGAAACGGGAAGCCGGUGACUCUGAUUCUUCAGACAUUCCGGCGCAGCCCCCGCUGCUGUAAAGUCUGACGACUCCGCAAAACGCCACUGUGCUCGGGCAUGGGAAGGCUGCUGGAGAAGCUCGACGGCAAGCCAGAAGACCGGCCCGAAUAAAACGUAGCGC
RNAcentral lists this non-coding RNA (210 nucleotides) under Candidatus Accumulibacter. The record is from RNAcentral. RNAcentral also lists the same sequence under 1 other name. Lineage: Bacteria; Pseudomonadati; Pseudomonadota; Betaproteobacteria.